Molecule: ribosomal RNA, 508 nt
Filed under: uncultured bacterium
Lineage: Bacteria
Description: bacterial SSU rRNA
Rfam family: Bacterial small subunit ribosomal RNA
Source: RNAcentral
CUGGCUCAGGAUGAACGCUAGCUACAGGCUUAACACAUGCAAGUCGAGGGCAGCAUGAUCAAAGCUUGCUUGAUGAUGGCGACCGGCGCACGGUGAGUAACGCGUAUCCAACCUUCCCUAUAGUAGUGGAUAGCCCGGCGAAAGUCGGAUUAAUACACUAUGUUAUUCAACGAGGACAUCUGAAAUGAAUCAAAAGGUUUACCGCUAUAGGAUGGGGAUGCGUCUGAUUAGAUAGUAGGCGGGGUAACGGCCCACCUAGUCGACGAUCAGUAGGGGUUCUGAGAGGAAGGUCCCCCACAUUGGAACUGAGACACGGUCCAAACUCCUACGGGAGGCAGCAGUGAGGAAUAUUGGUCAAUGGACGGGAGUCUGAACCAGCCAAGUAGCCGUGCAGGAUGACGGCCCUAUGGGUUGUAAACUGCUUUUAUCGGGGGAUAAAGUCACCCACGUGUGGGUGUUUGUAGGUACCCGAUGAAUAAGGACCGGCUAAUUCCGUGCCAGCAGCUGC